AGUCAGUGGAUGAUUGCAGGAUA
This 23-nucleotide microRNA is filed under the name Lottia gigantea (owl limpet). Its description in RNAcentral is "Lgi-Mir-1992-P2_5p* (star (passenger))". Lineage: Eukaryota; Metazoa; Mollusca; Gastropoda; Lottiidae. The record is from RNAcentral.